UUUGGUGCCGGUGCAGGCACUCGAGCCCUGUGUCAGCCACUCUGCCAGCUCUGGCACCCUCUGCAUCCCUCCAUUGCUGCAUGUGUCGGGGGCUCGGCUGCAUGGCCAGAUCUGCAGAGGUUUAAAGAAGUAAAAAAGACAGUUCAGAACAUGGGUGCCUAUCUGACUGGCAUGGCAGAACAAAUUGAUGAAGGAAGAAUGGUGGAUGCUGUCUACCUAGACUUCAGCAAGGCUUUUGACACUGUUUCCCAUAACAUCCUGGCAGGGAUCAGGCAGUGGAAAGGACACACUGAGGAGCUGCAGAAUUGAAGCUAGACUCAAGUUCAGGCAGCUGCACAAUGCACAGCAAAUACAG
Molecule: long non-coding RNA, 355 nt
Organism: Zonotrichia leucophrys gambelii
Lineage: Eukaryota; Metazoa; Chordata; Aves; Passeriformes; Passerellidae
Exons: 3
Source: RefSeq, a predicted model, not a curated record